ACGAGCGAGAGAGAGCUUGCUUUCUCGAGCGAGUGGCGAACGGGUGAGUAACGCGUGAGGAACCUGCCUCAAAGAGGGGGACAACAGUUGGAAAUGACUGCUAAUACCGCAUAAGCCCACGGGUCGGCAUCGACCAGAGGGAAAAGGAGCAAUCCGCUUUGAGAUGGCCUCGCGUCCGAUUAGCUAGUUGGUGAGGUAAUGGCCCACCAAGGCGACGAUCGGUAGCCGGACUGAGAGGUUGAACGGCCACAUUGGGACUGAGACACGGCCCAGACUCCUACGGGAGGCAGCAGUGGGGAAUAUUGCACAAUGGGGGAAACCCUGAUGCAGCGACGCCGCGUGGAGGAAGAAGGUCUUCGGAUUGUAAACUCCUGUUGUUGGGGAAGAUAAUGACGGUACCCAACAAGGAAGUGACGGCUAACUACGUGCCAGCAGCCGCGGUAAAACGUAGGUCACAAGCGUUGUCCGGAAUUACUGGGUGUAAAGGGAGCGCAGGCGGGAAGACAAGUUGGAAGUGAAAUCUAUGGGCUCAACCCAUAAACUGCUUUCAAAACUGUUUUUCUUGAGUAGUGCAGAGGUAGGCGGAAUUCCCGGUGUAGCGGUGGAAUGCGUAGAUAUCGGGAGGAACACCAGUGGCGAAGGCGGCCUACUGGGCACCAACUGACGCUGAGGCUCGAAAGUGUGGGUAGCAAACAGGAUUAGAUACCCUGGUAGUCCACACCGUAAACGAUGAUUACUAGGUGUUGGAGGAUUGACCCCUUCA
Molecule: ribosomal RNA, 763 nt
Filed under: uncultured bacterium
Lineage: Bacteria
Description: bacterial SSU rRNA
Rfam family: Bacterial small subunit ribosomal RNA
Source: RNAcentral